This 354-nucleotide ribosomal RNA is filed under the name uncultured bacterium. RNAcentral's name for it is "bacterial SSU rRNA". It matches the Rfam family "Bacterial small subunit ribosomal RNA", at positions 29 to 413 of the family's 1533-position model. The record is from RNAcentral.
AGCGAACGCUGGCGGCAGGCCUAAUACAUGCAAGUCGAGCGCACCUUCGGGUGAGCGGCGGACGGGUGAGUAACGCGUGGGAAUGUGCCCUUUGGUACGGAACAACUGAGGGAAACUUCAGCUAAUACCGUAUGUGCCCUUCGGGGAAAGGAUUAUCGCCAUUGGAGCAGCCCGCGUUGGAUUAGCUAGUUGGUAGGGUAAAGGCCUACCAAGGCUACGAUCCAUAGCUGGUCUGAGAGGAUGAUCAGCCACACUGGGACUGAGACACGGCCCAGACUCCUACGGGAGGCAGCAGUGGGGAAUAUUGCGCAAUGGGCGAAAGCCUGACGACGCAACGCCGCGUGGAGGAUGAAG